CUGAACACUGUCAUCUGCCAGAGCUUCAGGCAAGAACCCAGAACAGAUGAAACCCCAGACAUGACAAAAUAAGCCAAAGAAUACCAGGCCAAGGUGUGAAAGGCCAGAUGAGAACAAGCAGCGUACACGAUUCUGUUGCCAACAGAUCUCCCCUAACAGUGUCGUGCACCAAAUUUCCACAGUGAAUGUCAGGAAAAAAUGGCAAUUGAGAUGAAGAAACUGAGGCAGACAGAGGUGAAGAAACUUGCACAAGGUCAAAGAACAAGCUGAAGAAAUCUGAAAAAAGGCUGAAAGCUGGAACAACUGAUGGAAUUCUACGAGACUGUACAAACAAACAAACACUAGCAAAAGAAAUAAGCUGGACACAAGGGGAGGAUUCAUCAUCAAAUCAUUACAUGAUUUCAUGUUAAUGUGGGGAAGGGAAAUAUUUGUCAAUGGCUAUGUCUCAAACUGCCCCUGGAGAAGUCGAAAGAAUACCUGAAGCUACAUUAGAAGUACGAUUGAGAAAUCACUGAUAUAUUACUUCUCACUCCUUUAUCGCCAGGCAGUACAGUGAUUGCAAAUUGCAGUUAGAAUGGGAAUGUCGGCAUGUUGUUUAUUUUCAACAUGAUUCGACAUGAGAAUAACAAAAAUU
Homo sapiens (human) is the source of this 634-nucleotide long non-coding RNA. Ensembl annotates it as long intergenic non-protein coding RNA 710. Lineage: Eukaryota; Metazoa; Chordata; Mammalia; Primates; Hominidae. The record is from Ensembl.